Molecule: small nucleolar RNA, 106 nt
Organism: Lactuca sativa (garden lettuce)
Lineage: Eukaryota; Viridiplantae; Streptophyta; Magnoliopsida; Asterales; Asteraceae
Source: RefSeq, a predicted model, not a curated record
AGAUCAUGUUGAGGGCAGUUACAAAUCAUUCGUCUAUAACUUUCCCAAGCUUCAUACAAUGAUUCACCAACAUUUUAUUGGAAGUCCACAAUAUUUUUUUUAAACU